AUGGAGGAUAAUUAUACUAUUCUGUUUACUUUGUAUAGGUGUGAAAUUUUCCACUAUAACAUUUUUUUAAAGAACAUCUAUAAAAGACUUACACCUAACAUCAUACUUAAUCAUGAGAAAUUGGAUACCUUUCUGCUAAGAACCAAAAGAGACAGGAUCUCACUAUUUUGCCCAGGCUCGUCUCAAACUCCCGGCUCAAGCAAUUCUCUCUCCUUGGCCUCAGAAAGUACUGGGAUUACAGAUUCCACAGAGUCGAUUCAUAGCAGAUCCCACCCAUUCAAAAGCAAAACAAGACUAACAGUCAUCAAAACCUCUUUUUGUAAGUGCAUUCCACAUUCAUCUUACAUACCUUCCCAGCUCUAGCAUUCUCUUCCUGUCCCUUUACUCCCCAGAACUGCUCUCUCCAAAGUCACCUCCUGCUUCUCAGUCUAAUAAGUACCUAAUAUCUGUAAUGUAUAUCUUUCUCCUGCUUUUUCUGUUACUUUAUUUACUGGGGUUUUGUUUUUGGAAUUUUUGGUUGCUUGUUGGCUCUUAUGGACCUGAACUUUCUUGUGAGGAGCUC
Molecule: long non-coding RNA, 562 nt
Filed under: Callithrix jacchus (white-tufted-ear marmoset)
Lineage: Eukaryota; Metazoa; Chordata; Mammalia; Primates; Cebidae
Description: lncRNA (ENSCJAG00000084087.1)
Source: RNAcentral